GUCACACUGCCGAGAAAAGCUUCUAGUGAGUACUUAACUACCCGUACCGCAAACCGACACAGGUAGUCGAGGAGAGAAUCCUAAGGUGAGCGAGUGAACUCUCGUUAAGGAACUCGGCAAAAUGACCCCGUAACUUCGGGAGAAGGGGUGCUGAUCGCAAGAUCAGCCGCAGUGAAUAGGCCCAGGCGACUGUUUAUCAAAAACACAGGUCUCUGCAAAAUCGUAAGAUGACGUA
This 235-nucleotide ribosomal RNA is filed under the name Escherichia coli. Its description in RNAcentral is "partial 23S ribosomal RNA". It matches the Rfam family "Bacterial large subunit ribosomal RNA", at positions 1599 to 1845 of the family's 2925-position model. Lineage: Bacteria; Pseudomonadati; Pseudomonadota; Gammaproteobacteria; Enterobacterales; Enterobacteriaceae. The record is from RNAcentral.